GCGUCAGUGGUUCAGUGGUAGAAUACUCGCCUGCCACGCGGGUGACCCGGGUUCGAUUCCCGGCCGACGCA
RNAcentral lists this transfer RNA (71 nucleotides) under Rhipicephalus microplus (southern cattle tick). RNAcentral's name for it is "tRNA-Gly". It matches the Rfam family "tRNA". From Rfam's summary of the family: Transfer RNA (tRNA) molecules are approximately 80 nucleotides in length. The record is from Rfam by way of RNAcentral. Lineage: Eukaryota; Metazoa; Arthropoda; Arachnida; Ixodida; Ixodidae.